GAUGAAGAACGCAGCGAAAUGCGAUAAGUAAUGUGAAUUGCAGAAUUUAGUGAAUCAUCGAAUCUUUGAACGCAUAUUGCGCCCGCCAGCACUCUGGCGGGCAUGCCUGUUCGAGCGUCAUUUGUACCUUCAAGCUCUGCUUGGUGUUGGGUGUUUGUCUCGCCUCUGCGUGUAGACUCGCCUCAAAACAAUUGGCAGCCGGCGUAUUGAUUUCGGAGCGCAGUACAUCUCGCGCUUUGCACUCAUAACGACGACGUCCAAAAGUACAUUUUUACACUCUUGACCUCGGAUCAGGUAGGGAUACCCGCUGAACUUAAGCAUAUCAAUAAGCGGAGGA
Molecule: unclassified non-coding RNA, 337 nt
Filed under: soil metagenome
Description: partial contains 5.8S ribosomal RNA, internal transcribed spacer 2, and large subunit ribosomal RNA
Rfam family: 5.8S ribosomal RNA (bases 1-120)
Source: RNAcentral